Molecule: long non-coding RNA, 311 nt
Filed under: Lathyrus oleraceus (garden pea)
Lineage: Eukaryota; Viridiplantae; Streptophyta; Magnoliopsida; Fabales; Fabaceae
Description: Pisum sativum (pea) long non-coding RNA (PSAT_LNC006164)
Source: RNAcentral
UUGUUCAUACUUACAUCAUAUUAUUCAUACAUCUAGCAUCCCACAAUUCGUAAAUUUAGCUCCCACUUUAUUUUUUUGACAUACUGCUGUCACCGGCCACACCACACGAGUUACCACUAGCACCAACUAUAAACCAUAUCAUCACAUUAAUUUCCAUAUGAAAAGAAAGAUGUAAAACUUUGAAAACAUAUACACCACUUCAUUUUUUCAACUAACCUUUAACCACUACCUAUGUUUGUCCUUAUCAUAAUUUCCUUAUCAUCAACAACAACAUGCAUAACACAUUAAUAAUUAUAAUAGCCUGGACAUAU